UGGGAUUGAUAAUGUCUUUGAUUAUUUUCAACAUGGUUGAAAGAUUAUGUAAGUGUUACAAUUUUUUCAUAACGCUAUAAUUAUAAGAAAGUAUAGGUUUGAUUAAUGUAAUUUUCUACUCUCGACUAUUUAUAGGUUUAUGAUACAAGAAAUGGUCAAUUUAACCAAUUUUUUAAGGAUUUAUCUUGGGGACCCAUUAAGAUCUAUUCUAUGGACAAGUACACAAUGAAUGGUUU
This 236-nucleotide long non-coding RNA is filed under the name Capsicum annuum. RNAcentral's name for it is "long non-coding RNA (CANN_LNC015228)". Lineage: Eukaryota; Viridiplantae; Streptophyta; Magnoliopsida; Solanales; Solanaceae. The record is from RNAcentral.